Molecule: microRNA precursor, 59 nt
Filed under: Echinops telfairi (small Madagascar hedgehog)
Lineage: Eukaryota; Metazoa; Chordata; Mammalia; Afrosoricida; Tenrecidae
Description: Ete-Mir-17-P4a_pre stem-loop
Rfam family: mir-17 microRNA precursor family
About the family: This family represents the microRNA (miRNA) precursor mir-17, family, which includes mir-20, mir-91, and mir-103. miRNAs are transcribed as ~70nt precursors (modelled here) and subsequently processed by the Dicer enzyme to give a ~22nt product.
Source: RNAcentral
UAAAGUGCUUACAGUGCAGGUAGUGUGUCGUUAUCUACUGCACUAUGAGCACUUACAGU